This 193-nucleotide microRNA precursor is filed under the name Chlamydomonas reinhardtii. RNAcentral's name for it is "miR1168 stem-loop (cre-MIR1168)". Lineage: Eukaryota; Viridiplantae; Chlorophyta; Chlorophyceae; Chlamydomonadales; Chlamydomonadaceae. The record is from miRBase by way of RNAcentral.
GCGGCUUGGUCUUUCCGCGGUGGCCUCCUCCUCAAUCUUGGCCUUGCGCGCUUCGGGCUUGGCCUGGUCUACACAGCAGGCAGGGUUGGGAAGCUCCCUUACCCUGCCUGCUGUGUGGACAAGGCCAAGUCCGAAGCACGGAAGGCGAAGAUUGAGGAGGAGCGUGCAGUGCGGGUCCAUGGGUCGUGCCUGC